CCCGGCCCCCGCCUAGACUGCAGCCCACACCGCGAGGCCCACCUGCUGCCUCCACCACGAGCGCGAGAGCAGAGAGGAAGAGACACGUGCCCCGGCAGCGAUAUCGGCGGUGGGCGGGGUCCCGGCGAGCGCUUCCGGGUCGGCCACCGCCGCGGGUCUGCGCGUGCGUCCUGCGGCGCGGUCUGGCACGCCCCGCUUCCGCUUCCGGCCUCUCCCGCGCUGUGAGUGCAGCGGUGAGGGCGCGGUUGGUUCCGGCCGGCGAGCUGGGCCGAGGGCGUCUCGGGACGCGGGCCCCCCGGGCGGCAGGGGCAGGCGGAGUACCCCGAACCGAGGGCCUCGCGGCGGCCUGGGCCUGAGACCCCAGGACGGAGAAGCCAGCGCCUGGAGAAUCCGCGGCCUGGGCGGGAGGAGCUCUGCCCGGACCGGGGCAGAACUAGGCCCACAGCCCUUGCCCGGUACCGUCAUCGCCGCCUCGAGGACCUCCUUUCCUAGCUGGGCGCGGUGGCACUCGCCGGGAGUCCCAGCUACUCGGGAGGGUCCCGGGGCCAGCCUGGGCAACUUAGGCUGUGUCCCAGAGUAAAGAGUGGGGCAGGGUGCCCGGUGGUAAAGUGCCCAGGUUCGGUCCCCAGGACCUAAAAAGGAAAAGCCCUUCUCCACAGCAGUGUGGACUGAGAAGUGCUUGUGCCAGGCUCUCCUGGCGCCCGGCCGUUAAUGAAGAAAAUGGAAAACUCCCAAACUGCAAGUUGCAUCCCAGAGUCGCCCACCCCAGACACCCUGGAAUCAGGGCCAAGGCCUGCCCUGGCCCUCAGCUCCCACGGGCUUUUCACCAGUUUCCCUCAGAUCAUACUGUUGAGGGCCCUCCCAGAACCACCCUCCUUCACAUGCUGAUCUGCCCAGCAUGGAACUGUGUACCUGAGGUCCUGUCCUGCAGGUCCUCUCCUGGACCUGCUCACCCUGUGGCCCUGUGCGCAGUAGGGCUGCAAGGCCUGGUGUUGAUGGAGUGCACCAAGAACUCUCAGCCUGAGGCAGCAUCAUGACCAUUGUGAGAGAGUUUAGCACCUGGGGUUGGUUGGAUCUGAGCUGCAAGGUCCCCAUUCACACCUGGAAACCAGGUGUUCGUGGUGUCUGUCUGCUGGUGCUUUCACUGGACUACAGCCUGGAGUCAGAAGUGAUUGCCCUCUGGGAGUCUUGAUUUGUGCAGGCCCUAAAGCAUGUGCUCUUUCCAGAAGUCCAGCACCUGUGCAGAGAUGCCUUGGUGGUUUUUUUGCAGUUGCAAAUCUGCAGUUGGCCUGCCCUGUGUCUAGGUUGGCCCAGCAAGGCCUGGGGAUCAAGAGAGUGUCUAGCUAAACAGCCAGAGAUGCGGCAGCUAGAGUGCCAGAGAAGAGAUUGGCAGGAUGAGGACCACAGAGCCAGCAGAGAGCUGUCAGCACAAGGCUGGGGAAGAACCAUCCUAGCUGGCCUGUAAUCCCAGCAGCUCAGGAGGCUGAGGCAGGAGGAUUGCAGUUCAAAGCCAGCCUCAGCAACUCAGCGAGACCCUGACUAAAUAAAAUACAAAAGAGGGCUGGAGAUGUGGCCUGGUGGUAAAGCACAUCUGGGUUCAAUCCCCAGUACCUCCAAAAAAACAUUAUAAACUUAAGGGGCACAGUAUCCAGUGGACCACUGGACUGGACUGGACCUGUGCCCAUCAACUACACAGGAAAAACUCAGUCCACAAGGAUUAGGUAGAGCCUCAGCAAUGGAAAAUAAUCAUACCUGUCAAAUGGUAAAAGCAAGACCUCAAAGGGUCUACUGUUUGCAGGUAACUUGACUGCGUCCCAGAGGGAAAAAAAAAGCUUAAGAGGGGCUGGGGUUGUGGCUUACUGAUAGAGCACUUGCCUAGUGUGCUUGAGGCACUGGGUUUGAUCCCCAGCACCAAACAAAAAGCAAAAACAAAGGUAUAAAAAAGAAGCUUAAGAAUGAGGGCUGGCCCAUAGCUCAGUGGUCAAGUGCUUACCUAGCACAGCUUCAAUCCUUAGCACCACAUAAAAAUAAAGGUAUUCUAUCCACCUACAACUACAAAAUAUAUGUGUGUGUGUGUGUGUAUGUGCCAGGCACAGUGGCGCACGCCUGUAAUCCCAGCAGCUCGGAGGCUGAGACAGGAGGAUUGUGAAUUCAAAGCCAUCCUCAGCAAUUGCAAGACUCUAAGCAACUCAGUGAGACCUUGUCUCUAAAUAAAAUAGGGCUGGGGAUGUGACUCAGUGGUCAAGUGCCCCUGAGUUCAAUCCCCAGUAACAAAAAAGAAUGUGGGAUACUGUCACAUUGCAUGCCUCGCAAGAUAGAAUGUGUGUCAUGUGGCAUCCAGUAAAAGAUGCCUGGCCCUAUACACCUGUAUAAUUCCAGCAACUGGGGAGGCUAAGGCAGGAGGAUGGUAAGUUUGAGGCCAGCCUCAGCAACAUACCAAGUCUCCAUCUCUAAAAAAGCUGAGGAGGUAGCUCAGUGGUAAAUUGUCUUAGGGUUUGAACCCAGCAUGUCAAAGACUGUCAGCCACAUAGAAAGCAGGGCCACUGCUGCAGAACUGACACAGCAUCAGAAAUGCAGGACACGUAAGGGUUUUCUGAAACGUGUUUUUCUGUAAGAAGGUUUAGAAGAGGAGUGUAUAAAGAAGAUCCCAGGUAGGGUGAUGGAUUGAGUUGAUCCCAAGUAGGGUGAUGGAUUGAGUUGAUCCCAGGUAGGGUGAAGGAUUGGUUGCCUUGCUGCCUCUGUGAAGCUCAGUGACACUGAGGCCGUGUUGGGACGAGGCUCCCACUGCAUGCAGUAGCCAGCACCAGGCCCAGCGGACAGCAGCCCAUGCUCACCCAUGCCCUGGACUCCAUCCGCAGCUCAGCUGCACCUGCACAGUCCUACUCUUGUGUGACCAUAAGUGACCCUCAGAGGAGAAAACCAGGACAGUGGUACACACCUGUCAUCCCAGCAACUUGGGAGGCUGAGGCAGGAAGAGGGCAGCUUCUAGGCCAGCCUGGACAACUAACUGACACCCUGACUCAAUUUUUUUUUUAAGUGGGGGGUGGCAGCUGGGGUUGAGGCUCAGCCAUAGAGCGCUCGCCUAGCACAUGCAGGGCCCUGGGUUUGCUCCUCAGCACCACAUAAAAUAUAAAGGGGUUGUGUCCAACUACAACUAAAAAAUAUAUUUUUAAAAAAAGAGGGGAUGGAAACUGGGGUGUAGCUGAGAGGCGGAGCAGCGCUGGGUGCGACCCUCAGAACAUCAACAAAACAAGGUGAGAUGAGGGCCCUCGCUGGGGCAGCCAGUGUCCAUGUCGGGCCUUCCUGGGCCGGCUUGUCUGCAAGGUCUCUGCUCCAUGUCAACAUGGGAGCCCCGUCUGCAAUGGACUAGAUCUGCUGCAGCGGCUGGAGCUGCUGCCCACCACCACUGCUGUCCAGCUGGAGAGAAGUGGGGCUGAGAGGCCUUGACGGCACAGGCUGGGGGGCUUGUGGUUGUUUGUUUGGGUUUUAAUUUUUGGUGCUGGAGAUUGAACUCCAGGGCACUCAUCACCCAGCUACGUCCCCAGCUCUCCCCGCCCUUUUUAAUCUCGAGACAGGUCUCACAAGUUACCCAGCUGGCCUCAGAGUUGUGUCCUCCUGCCUCAGCCUCCCAGUGUAGUGUAGCACCACACAAAACAUGUUCUGGGUCUUUUUUGAAGAGGGCAGCUUCUAGGCUGUUUGCUUUGUUCUGCUUUUGAAGUGUUGGGGAUUGAACCUAGGUGCCUUGCCACUGAGCUGUAUCCACAGCCCUUUUCUGUUUAUUUAUUUCAAUUUUGUAUUUGUUUGUUUGUUUUGAGACAGGGUCACCCAGGCUGGCCUUGAACUUGUGAUCCUCCUGCCUUGCACUUCCUUUCUGUCUUCUCACCAUACUACCUGUUAAAUGGCUCCAGUUCAUUUAAAGUUGUAUUCAAAAGAUUGAUUUUAUUUUAAAGAUUAAUGUGAUCUCAAAUGGGGUAUAAUGUAUGAUCAGCCAAAUUCAAGACAGCUGUUACACAAACUAAAUAUGUUUUUACUCUUGUUAAUUUCAUUUGUAUUUUCCCUGUAACCGUUGCCUGUUGAUAUUUUGCAGAGGUACUGCUUCAAGAACACAAAACCUGGGCUGAUUAAUUUAUUUUGUAUUAAUCUCA
This is a long non-coding RNA of Marmota monax (woodchuck), 4145 nucleotides long. RefSeq lists it as uncharacterized. The record is from RefSeq and is a predicted model, not a curated record. Lineage: Eukaryota; Metazoa; Chordata; Mammalia; Rodentia; Sciuridae. The transcript is spliced from 2 exons.